AUGAACGCCGGCGGCGUGCCUAAUACAUGCAAGUCGAGCGAACAGACGAGGAGCUUGCUCCUCUGACGUUAGCGGCGGACGGGUGAGUAACACGUGGAUAACCUACCUAUAAGACUGGGAUAACUUCGAGAAACCGGAGCUAAUACCGGAUAAUAUAUUGAACCGCAUGGUUCAAUAGUGAAAGACGGUUUUGCUGUCACUUAUAGAUGGAUCCGCGCCGCAUUAGCUAGUUGGUAAGGUAACGGCUUACCAAGGCAACGAUGCGUAGCCGACCUGAGAGGGUGAUCGGCCACACUGGAACUGAGACACGGUCCAGACUCCUACGGGAGGCAGCAGUAGGGAAUCUUCCGCAAUGGGCGAAAGCCUGACGGAGCAACGCCGCGUGAGUGAUGAAGGUCUUCGGAUCGUAAAACUCUGUUAUUAGGGAAGAACAAAUGUGUAAGUAACUAUGCACGUCUUGACGGUACCUAAUCAGAAAGCCACGGCUAACUACGUG
RNAcentral lists this ribosomal RNA (496 nucleotides) under uncultured bacterium. RNAcentral describes it as "partial 16S ribosomal RNA". It matches the Rfam family "Bacterial small subunit ribosomal RNA", at positions 29 to 507 of the family's 1533-position model. The record is from RNAcentral.